AGUGAACGCUGGCGGUAGGCCUAACACAUGCAAGUCGAACGGCAGCACAGUAAGAGCUUGCUCUUACGGGUGGCGAGUGGCGGACGGGUCAGGAAUACAUCGGAAUCUACUUUUUCGUGGGGGAUAACGUAGGGAAACUUACGCUAAUACCGCAUACGACCUACGGGUGAAAGCAGGGGAUCUUCGGACCUUGCGCGAUUGAAUGAGCCGAUGUCGGUUUAGCUAGUUGGCGGGGUAAAGGCCCACCAAGGCGACGAUCCGUAGCUGGUCUGAGAGGAUGAUCAGCCACACUGGAACUGAGACACGGUCCAGACUCCUACGGGAGGCAGCAGUGGGGAAUAUUGGACAAUGGGCGCAAGCCUGAUCCAGCCAUACCGCGUGGGUGAAGAAGGCCUUCGGGUUGUAAAGCCCUUUUGUUGGGAAAGAAAAGCAGCAGGUUAAUACCCCGCUGUUCUGACGGUACCCAAAGAAUAAGCACCGGCUAACUUCGUG
This 492-nucleotide ribosomal RNA is filed under the name uncultured bacterium. RNAcentral's name for it is "partial 16S ribosomal RNA". It matches the Rfam family "Bacterial small subunit ribosomal RNA", at positions 29 to 507 of the family's 1533-position model. The record is from RNAcentral.